AUGGUUCCCAGUCGGAUCUGUUUCCACUGCACCGCGAUGGGAACUCUGACAUCCCUAUUUUUGGCUGCUCACCAGCUGCCCUUGCUGCCUCCUGUGGACCCCCCUCUACCCCCAGCCAGCUACAGCAGUUUACAGCUCCUGAAACCUGUGUGAACACUUGCUUCCUUGAGGACUCUCUUGGAAGCCACCCCCAAAAGUGAGAUACCCAGAAACACCCCCCACCCCCCCCGGUGAACCGCCAGACACGGGAGCCUCUCACCUUCUCGGCGUUGGAGCGGAUGCAGCGGAUGAAGAAGGGCUCUGCCUUGCCCAGCGCCUCCAGGAGCUUAUUAAGGGAUGUCUGCGAAGAGAGGGGGAAGGUACUGAGUUGGGGCUCCUAGGUCAUCCGCCUGCAUCAGUGGGAGCAUCUGUGCUGAUGUGGACAUGAGAGGGAGGAGCUAGCGGGAAGAGGAAGGAACCAAAGAAGCCAGAGAAAUUAGAAACACGCCCCCCACCCCGGGUUUUCCAGAAAAAUGACUUGAGCCAGGCGCUCGCAAGGCGAUGUGAGACGGUGUCGCGCGUGUUUACCUUUGGAAUGAUCUGCUUUUGUUUGAUACCUUUACUUUUCCUGUCAAAAUAUUAAAAAUGGUUUUGUGAACAGAAGGAA
This is a long non-coding RNA of Phacochoerus africanus (Common warthog), 646 nucleotides long. RefSeq lists it as uncharacterized. The transcript has 2 exons. Lineage: Eukaryota; Metazoa; Chordata; Mammalia; Artiodactyla; Suidae. The record is from RefSeq and is a predicted model, not a curated record.